AUAGGUAGUCAUUGUCAAGUAAGAAUACCUGUUAAAUUUAAGCAUAUAAUUAAAUGGAGGAUUAGAAAAAAAGGGACAUCCAAAGUAAUGGCGAAUGAAAUGGAAAUUGAAUAAUCUAAAAAUCCGAUAUAUCAUGGAAUGCACCUUGUAGUUUAGUUAGUUGGAUGCCCUUUAACUUCAAGUAGGCUUGAGUAUGAUUGAGAUCAGAGAGAGUUGAAUUCUCGUAUGUUAAGAAGUUAGGAGUUACUUUUAACUAUAGUCUUAAGUAGACUUCUUUGGUACUAGAGCUCGAAGUGUGUGGUGAUAUUCACAAAAUUAUUUUUAUUGGUGGGAGACCUUUAGUGUAGAAGUACCGUGAGGGAAAGAUGAAAAGAACUUUGGAGAGGGAUUUAAAUAGUAUGUGAGCAUGUUGGUAAAAAGCGAAUCAAAUAAGAAGGCAUUACUUUGAUAAAUUAAAAUUGUUAAUACAUAAUAAUCAGCUAUUGAAAGGUAUAUUUAGUUUUUAGCUUUAUAGAGCAGGGUGUAUAUAUAUCUGAGGUUAUUUUGAUCUGACCCGUCUGGAAACACGGUCCAAGGAGUCCAGUAUGGAUGCGAGACUUUGUAGUUUAAAUUUCCCUUGUCGCAGGCAAUUUAGAUCGUGUCUAUCUUUGUACUAAGAUAUAAUCGUGGGCCCUGAUAUUCUGAGCAAGAGCAUACCUAUUGGGAUCCGAAAGAUGGUGAACUAUACUUGUGCAGGGUUAAGGCUGGAGAAAUUCUGUUGGAGGCUCGAAACGAUACUGACGUGCAAAUCGUUUGUCGGAUGUAAGUGUAGGGGCGAAAGACUAAUCGAACUGUCUAGUAGCUGAUUCCCUUCGAAGUUUCCCUCAGGAUAGUUAGAGUUUGAGAAUAAAGUUACAUUAGGUAGAGCAAAUGAUUAGAGCACAUGGGACUGAAACAGUCUCAGUCUAUUUUUAAACUUUAAAUGGGUGUGAAGUAAUGCUCUCUUAACUGUAGUGUUUCAUUAAAUGAGAUCUUUCAGUGGUCCACUUUUGGUAAGCAGAACUGGCGAUGUGGGAUGUUCCAGACGGAUAGUGAAGAUGUUACUGUAUUCGCUUAUUCCGAUACCAUAAAGGUUGUUACUUAAUUUAGACAGUAGGUCGAUGGUCAUGGAGGUUGAAAAUCGCUAAGGAGUGUGUAACAACUCACCUGCCAAAUCAACCAGCCCCAAAAAUGGAUGGCGCUUAAGCGAUUCAUUGAAACUACAUUUCUGAAGUAAAUGAUGUAGACAAUAGCAAGUAGGUGGGCGCGGCGGAUGUAUAGAAAUUAUGAGCGUUAGGUAUAAUGGAGCAGCUGUUAGGGCAGAUCUUGGUGAUAGUAGCAAUUAUUCAUACAAGGGUAAUGAAUGCUGAAGAGGAGUAUGUUUCCAUGUCAACAGCAGUUGAACAUGGGUUAAUCGGUUCUAAGUGAAUGUCAUAGUAAUAGAGUAGUUGGCAUCAACGUUUUAAACAAAGGAGUGUCCCAUUAAUAUUUCUGAGUUUCAUGUUGUGAUAUUGAUACGGUAACGUAUUAACUAUCAGUUCUAGUGGUUGAGGCUUCUUUGAGAGAUCUCUACUCUUAUCAAAUGUAUUAUGAUCAUGGAAUAAGUUUACCUUGAGAUAGGAGUAUAUUACAUAAACAACAUUGUCAGCUUUGCGAUGUAUGUAUACGUCUUAAACGGCUCGUAAAAAGCUUUGAACAUACUUGUGGUUAUAUUUUAUCCGUACUGAUUUCCGCAUCAGGUCUCUAAGGUCAUAAGCCUCUGGUUAAUAGAAUAAUGUGGGUAAGGGAAGUCGGCAAAAUGGUUCUGUAAGUUUGCGAUAAGGAAUGGCUCAUUAGGUUGGAUUUUACGGCUCUUGGGAGAGCCUAUUUGGUGACGGAACUUACUGAUAUUGAUCCUACGUCAUAAUCAGGUGGACUGUCGACUCAUACGGGUGGCAUCAUGAGAGAACUAUUUCCGGAGGGGAUUACGUUUCCGUUAAUAAUGAACGACAAGUAGUGAACUGGUGCUAACCACAGGAACCCGACUGUUUAAUUAAAACAAAGCAAUGUGAUGGAUCUGACGGUUGCUGAUACAAUGUGAUUUCUGCCCAGUGCUCUGAAUGUUACAGUGAAGAAAUUCAAUUAAGCGCGGGUAAACGGCGGGAGUAACUAUGACUCUCUUAAGGUAGCCAAAUGCCUCGUCAUCUCACUAGUGACGCGCAUGAAUGGAUCAAUGAGGCUCCUCCUGUCCCUAUCAACUAUCUAGCGAAAUCACAGCCAAGGGAACGGGCUUGGGUAUAAUGGCGGGGAAAGAAGACCCUGUUGAGCUUGACUCUAAUUUGACAUAGUGAAGUGGCAUUGGCGGUGUAGGAUAGGUGGGAGUGUUAAACAACCGUGAAAUACCACUACGUCGAUCGCUACUUUACUUAAAUAUUUGGAAUAAAUCUUCCCUAAGAUAAGAAUAUUUCUAAAACGAAAUUUGAGUAAGUGACUGAUUUAUCAACAUUGUCAGGUGGGGAGUUUGGCUGGGGCGGCACAUCUGUUAAAUGAUAACACAGGUGAUCUAAGAUCAGUUCAAUGCGAACGGAAAUCGCAUUUGGAAUUUCAGGGCAAAAACUGAUUUGACAUUGAUUCCAAAUAUGGCUCGAAGCACUGAAAGAUUUGGCCUAGUGAUCCUUUAGAUUUUUGAGUUACAAAGUUAGAGGUGUCAAAAAAGUUACCACAGGGAUAACUGGCUUGUGGCGG
Molecule: ribosomal RNA, 2742 nt
Filed under: marine metagenome
Description: eukaryotic LSU rRNA
Rfam family: Eukaryotic large subunit ribosomal RNA
Source: RNAcentral